Eupeodes corollae is the source of this 500-nucleotide long non-coding RNA. RefSeq lists it as uncharacterized. The transcript is spliced from 2 exons. NCBI's taxonomy places the organism in Eukaryota, Metazoa, Arthropoda, Insecta, Diptera, Syrphidae. The record is from RefSeq and is a predicted model, not a curated record.
CAAAAUUCAAUUUGGACACGCACAUAAACUUGUUACACUACACUAAUUUUUGACUUUGAAAUUACUGUUCCAGCUUUUAUUUCUAUUAAUAAUUUAUUCAAAUACGCUAAACUUGUCAAAAAUGUUUUCAAAAAAAGUAUGAACAACUGUUCCAACUACAAACACAAUAAAUUCGGAGGGAAAUAUUAAAAAAACUGGCAACAAACUAUCAUAAUGUUGAGCGUUGUCAAUGUGCCCAUCGAGACCGUAUUCGAAGUGUUCAAGAAAAUCUCCAGUAUUCCAAAAAGAUGAUAUAUUUACAGACAGUUCUGAUUAUUUUAGCAAUAUUAGGUUUGCUCACGAUGGGUAUAAUUAUGGGGACUUAUGCUUGGAUUUGGUCUAUCAAAUUCUCGUGGAACACACCCCUGUGUAAAUUUAUUACCAUUUUUGUUUGAAGAUGAUUGUCAAGUGGGUUUUUGAAAGUCUCGUCUAUGAAAAAUAAAAAUACAUAUAUUUUUUAA